RNAcentral lists this ribosomal RNA (468 nucleotides) under uncultured bacterium. Its description in RNAcentral is "partial 16S ribosomal RNA". It matches the Rfam family "Bacterial small subunit ribosomal RNA", at positions 28 to 507 of the family's 1533-position model. The record is from RNAcentral.
GACGAACGCUGGCGGCGUGCUUAACACAUGCAAGUCGAACGGAAAGGCCCUGCUUUUGUGGGGUGCUCGAGUGGCGAACGGGUGAGUAACACGUGAGUAACCUGCCCUUGACUUUGGGAUAACUUCAGGAAACUGGGGCUAAUACCGGAUAGGAGCUCCUGCUGCAUGGUGGGGGUUGGAAAGUUUCGGCGGUUGGGGAUGGACUCGCGGCUUAUCAGCUUGUUGGUGGGGUAGUGGCUUACCAAGGCUUUGACGGGUAGCCGGCCUGAGAGGGUGACCGGCCUAUUGGGGAAUGAGAGAGGGCCCAGCCGCCACCGGGGGGCAGCGGGGGGGAAUAUGGAAGAAGGGGCGGAGGCUUGAGGCGGCCGCCCCCGGUGGGGAAGGAGGGCCUGGGGUUUGAAAACCGCUUUCGCCUGUAACGAAGGGGAAGUGACGGUAGGGGAAAAAGAAGCCCGGGCUAACUAGGUG